Molecule: ribosomal RNA, 492 nt
Filed under: uncultured bacterium
Lineage: Bacteria
Description: partial 16S ribosomal RNA
Rfam family: Bacterial small subunit ribosomal RNA
Source: RNAcentral
AGUGAACGCUGGCGGUAGGCCUAACACAUGCAAGUCGAACGGCAGCACAGUAAGAGCUUGCUCUUACGGGUGGCGAGUGUCGGACGGGUGAGGAAUACAUCGGAAUCUACUUUUUCGUGGGGGAUAACGUAGGGAAACUUACGCUAAUACCGCAUACGACCUACGGGUGAAAGCAGGGGAUCUUCGUACCUUGCGCGAUUGAAUGAGCCGAUGUCGGAUUAGCUAGUUGGCGGGGUAAAGGCCCACCAAGGCGACGAUCCGUAGCUGGUCUGAGAGGAUGAUCAGCCACACUGGAACUGAGACACGGUCCAGACUCCUACGGGAGGCAGCAGUGGGGAAUAUUGGACAAUGGGCGCAAGCCUGAUCCAGCCAUACCGCGUGGGUGAAGAAGGCCUUCGGGUUGUAAAGCCCUUUUGUUGGGAAAGAAAAGCAGCAGGUUAAUACCCCGCUGUUCUGACGGUACCCAAAGAAUAAGCACCGGCUAACUUCGUG